This 2236-nucleotide long non-coding RNA is filed under the name Pan troglodytes (chimpanzee). Its description in RNAcentral is "lincRNA". Lineage: Eukaryota; Metazoa; Chordata; Mammalia; Primates; Hominidae. The record is from RNAcentral.
AAAGAACAUUGGAGUCACUCCCUGGCUACACACGCUGAGGUGCUCAAAAAGGGCCGGUGUGCAGCAGUGAGUGCCAGUUUGAAUGAAGGAAGCAUGCGUGGCCUGAAGCCUCACCGUGUUCCAGGCGUCCAGUUAAGUGCUCUGCACAUAAUAUCGCACAUUGCGCUCCACGAUAAGAACAAAUUCUCACAUGGGAACCGAGCAAAGUGUAAUGGAUGUUCCCAGGAGCUGCCUAUGGGAUUCAAGAAAACUGUAUGAGAGGAGUAACAUUUGGGCUGGAAGCGAAAAUACAAGUAAACAUAUGUCAAAUGGGGUCUGGAAAGCAAUCCUCCACAGAAAGAAAGCAGAAUCUUCUGGGCAUUUCUGAGCAAGUGGACUUCCUUCAGCUGAGCACAGUCUUCAGGAGAAGCGGACAGGUGCAAAGUGUUGGAAGCCAACACUCACAGCAGUUGGGGGUUGGAGUGCUCUGGCUUCCAACAGCAUUGAAACCAACAGCAUUGACUACAGCGAGUUUCUCAAUCUUCAGAACACAUCCCAGCCUCCUUGGGGGCUGCUAACGCACAGAUUGCCGUUUCCCACUCCAAGAGUUUCUGAUUCCAGAGGUCUGGGGUAGGGCUCGAUAAUUUGUUCUUCUAACCACCUAAUGCUGUUGGUCCAGUGACCACACUUUGAGAAAUGCUGUACUAUGUUUUUUCAUAUAUUUAAAAAUUCUCACCUCAUUUAUGGUUUAAAACUUCUAGAACAAUUCUGAAUAGUUUUUGUAAUAGUGAGCCUCACUUUCCUGUCUGCCCUUAAUGGGAAUGUCUCUAUAAUGAUUCGCCUUUCAUACAGGGACUUGUUGUGGUUUACUGGGCAAUUCCUUUUGGCAGGUUAAAAAAAUUCCCUCUGUUUCAAGCUAAAACCAUUUACCAGGAAGAGAUGCUAAGUUUUAUGAGAGGGUUUUUCCAGUAACUAUUGUGAUAAUCAUGUUUUUUUUCCUAUUUAUUAAGAUAUCAAACAUGAAACUUAUUUGAAGUCCUGGAUUAAACACUGCUUGUUUUCUAUAAUGUUUUGUUCCUUAAAUGUACUGACAAAUUUAAUUUAUUAUUUUUUUAGGAUUUGAGGUACAAGUUCAUACGUGAUAAUGACUUACUGUUUUGUUUUCAUUAUUUCCUCCUUCCGUCCUUUCUUGAUAUCCUUUUUAUCUCUUGGUUUCAAAAUUACACUAGCGUCAUAGAAUGAGUUGGAAAUUAGCCCAUUAUUCUCCAUGCCAUGGAGUGUUUUGCAAAACAUAAGAAUGAUCAGUUCCUUACAUACUUGGUAGAAUUUACCUUAUAAAACACAGUAGGUUUCGUGUCUCUUCUGGAGUCCAGAUACUGCUAUGGACUGAAUGUUUGUACCCUCUAAGAUUCAUUAGGUUGAAAUCCUAGCCUCAAAGUGGUGGUAUUAGGAGGUGGGACCUUUGGGAGGUGAUCAGGCCAAGAGGGUGGAGCCCUCAUGAAUGGGAUUAGUGCCCUUAUCAAAUAAGGCAAAAGGAGCUCUUUAACCUCUCCCACCAUGUGAGGACAAAGUGAAAAGACACCAUCUAUGAACCAGGAAGCAAGGCCUCACUGGAUGCCAAACCUGCCAGCACCUGGCCCUUGGACUUCCAGCCACCAGAACUGUGAAGAAGAAAUUUCUGUUGCUUAUAAAUACCCAGUUUACGGCAUUCUGUUAUAGAAGUGCCUAAUAGGCUAAGGCAAAUACUAUAUGGUAUUUAAGAUUGCUUCUGUAUAUUUUUAAGACUUUUUUAUUUUGGAAUAAUAAUAAUUUACAGAAAAUUUACAAACAGAGAAAGUCUCCACAUGCCCCUCACCCCACUUCCCCUAAUGUUAACAUAGCCGUGGUCCAUUUGUCAAAACUAAGAAAUGACGAUUGGUACCAUACUAUUGACUGAAUUACAGACAUUACUUGGAUUUUGUCAAUUGUUUUACUAAUAUUCUAUUUCUGUGUCAGAUUCCAAUCUGGGUACCAUGUUGCAUUUGUUCAUCACGUCUCCUUUGUUUUUCCUGGGCUGUGACAGUUUCCUAUUCUUUUCUUGUAUUGCCUGGCUUUGAAUUUUGAGGAAUUCUGGUUAAGUAUUUUGUAAACUGUCACUAAAUUUUGCUUGUCAGAUGUUUUCUCCUGGGUUAGACUGGGCUUACAGGUUUUGGGGAAGAACUCUACAAAAGGGAAAUGUCUUUCUCAUCUCAUCUAAUCAAUGGAUAUAGGAUAUCAA